AUUGAACGCUGGCGGCAGGCCUACCACAUGCAAGUCGAGCGAGCGGCGGACGGGUGAGUAAUGUCUGGGAAACUGCCUGAUGGAGGGGGAUAACUACUGGAAACGGUAGCUAAUACCGCAUACCAUCAGAUGUGCCCAGAUGGGAAUAGCUAUUAGGUGGGGUAAUGGCUCACCUAGGCGACGAUACCUAGCUGGUCUGAGAUGAUGACCAGCCACACUGGAACGCAGACACGGUCCAGACUCCGACGGGAGGCAGCAGUGGGGAAGAUUGCACAAUGGUCUCAAGCCUGAUGCAGCCAUGCCGCGUGUGUGAAGAAGGCCUUCGGGUUGUAAAGCACUUUCAGCUGGGAGGCGUUACCCGCAGAAGAAGCACCGGCUAACUCCGUGCCAGCAGCCGCGGUAAUUC
Molecule: ribosomal RNA, 406 nt
Filed under: uncultured bacterium
Lineage: Bacteria
Description: partial 16S ribosomal RNA
Rfam family: Bacterial small subunit ribosomal RNA
Source: RNAcentral